AGCAGCCGCGGUAAUUCCAGCUCCAAUAGCGUAUAUUAAAGUUGUUGCAGUUAAAAAGCUCGUAGUUGAACUUCGGGGUUCACCCAUUGGUCAGGCUUAAUUGUCUGUACUGGUGAGAUGAGUCUCUACCUUCUGAGGAACUUUCAUGCCAUUUAUUUGGUGUGGUUGGAAAUCAGGACUGUUACUUUGAAAAAAUUAGAGUGUUUAAAGCAGGCUAACGUCUGAAUACAUUAGCAUGGAAUAAUGAAAUAGGACGGAUUGAUUCUAUUUCGUUGGUUUCUAGGGUCACCGUAAUGAUUAAUAGGGAUAGUUGGGGGCAUUAGUAUUCAAUUGUCAGAGGUGAAAUUCUUGGAUUUAUUGAAGACUAACUACUGCGAAAGCAUUUGCCAAGGAUGUUUUCAUUAAUCAAGAACGAAAGUUAGGGGAUCGAAGACGAUCAGAUACCGUCGUAGUCUUAACCAUAAACUAUGCCGACUAGGGAUCGGACGCAGUUAAUUUUAUAAUGACGUGUUCGGCUACC
This 520-nucleotide ribosomal RNA is filed under the name uncultured Diversispora. RNAcentral's name for it is "SSU rRNA". It matches the Rfam family "Eukaryotic small subunit ribosomal RNA", at positions 569 to 1088 of the family's 1831-position model. The record is from RNAcentral. Lineage: Eukaryota; Fungi; Glomeromycota; Glomeromycetes; Diversisporales; Diversisporaceae.